Molecule: ribosomal RNA, 432 nt
Filed under: uncultured archaeon
Lineage: Archaea
Description: bacterial SSU rRNA
Rfam family: Archaeal small subunit ribosomal RNA
Source: RNAcentral
UACCAGCUCUCCGAGUGGUGUGGAUGUUUAUUGGGCCUAAAGCAUCCGUAGCUGGCUGGGCAAGUCCCCUGUUAAAUCCACCGAUUUAAUCGUUGGUGUGCGGGGGAUACUGUUCGGCUAGGGGACGGGAGAGGCCGACGGUAUUUUCGGGGUAGGGGUGAAAUCCUAUAAUCCCGGGAAGACCACCAGUGGCGAAGGCUGUCGGCUAGAACGCGCCCGACGGUGAGGGAUGAAAGCUGGGGGAGCGAACCGGAUUAGAUACCCGGGUAGUCCCAGCUGUAAACGAUGCAGGCUAGGUGUUUGGGCGGCCACGUGCCGCUCUAGUGCCGCAGAGAAGUCGUUAAGCCUGCCGCCUGGGGAGUACGGCCGCAAGGCUGGAAACUUAAAGGAAUUGGGCGGGGGAGCACCACGAAGGGGUGAAGCUUGCGGUUU